AGCACACGAGAUUGGGGGGAAGGGGCUCAGGUGCCGACUGGGGGUGGAGGCGGGCAAUGCAGGAAAGUGUGCACCUCUCGGGCUAGUGAGCAGGCAGCUGGGGGACGCAGAGGCAGCCAGCAGGCCAGGCACCAGAUUCUCCUUUUAGCAAACUCCCACUAGUGACUUCAGCAAGGCACCUUCUCACGUUUCCUUCCACAGUAAGCUUCCGAGGGAGGAUCUGAAAGGGUUAGGAGGGUUUAGUGCACACAGCCGCGUGUAAAGCGGGACCAUAGGAAGACACCGGGCUGGGACCGAAGCGGAGGUGUCUCCUCACCUUGGCACAAGGCCUCAGGAGCUUCCCGGUGUGUCGAGUGUGGUGGCGGGGCACGAAUCGCAGGUCCAGCGGCCAAGCCGGGGAGGGUGAUCUCUGAAAGACACAGGCAGCCACGGUCCUUUGUCAGCCCAGAAAUGCCACGGUGUUCGAACAAAAAGUCAAGACAAGACAGAGACAGCAGGAGCUGCUGACAACUUUCUGAAGUAGAAGCUAAAAGACAUCAGAUAAAAUCGAGCAUCUUUAAAUGGAUUCUGUGUACUUCGCAAGGCAAAGACCUCCCCGCUGCCUGUGUGGCAUCACUAGCUACUGCAGGGAACUUGAACUCUUUACUUUAAUCAUUGCUUUUGUUAGCAAGAGAACAAGGUGAAACUGCAUUUCAUAACACCAACCUCUGUCUUCUUAGCAAUGACACAGCUUCAGAAAUGCUGGCUUGGUACACGGAAACCUCGUCCUCAGAAGAGUAUAAUUAUUUUGUUCCAAGGCAAUAAGAUGGGAGUACACAAUGCAUUAAAAAUUCUUUCAAAGUACCCUAUUUAGACAUUCAACUUUCUAAUACUCUCAGCACUGAAGUGUAGGCUCAAUAUUGUCUUGAGAUCAAGGAAAUUUUACAGGGAGCCAAAUUAUAGCUUUCUUUUUAGGACAACAAACACAUGAUUUAUGUAAGAAG
Fukomys damarensis (Damara mole-rat) is the source of this 983-nucleotide long non-coding RNA. RefSeq lists it as uncharacterized. The transcript has 3 exons. Lineage: Eukaryota; Metazoa; Chordata; Mammalia; Rodentia; Bathyergidae. The record is from RefSeq and is a predicted model, not a curated record.